UACGUAGGCAGCGAGCGUUGUUCGGAGUUACUGGGCGUAAAGGGUGUGUAGGCGGUUGUUUAAGUUUGGUGUGAAAUCUCCCGGCUCAACUGGGAGGGUGCGCCGAAUACUGAAUGACUAGAGUGCGGAAGAGGCGAGUGGAAUUCCUGGUGUAGCGGUGAAAUUCGUAGAUAUCAAGCGGAACACCGGUGGCGAAGGCGGCCUUCUGGACAGUGACUGACGCUGAGACGCGAAAGCGUGGGGAGCAAACAGG
RNAcentral lists this ribosomal RNA (253 nucleotides) under uncultured bacterium. RNAcentral's name for it is "partial 16S ribosomal RNA". It matches the Rfam family "Bacterial small subunit ribosomal RNA", at positions 524 to 776 of the family's 1533-position model. The record is from RNAcentral.